This 1506-nucleotide ribosomal RNA is filed under the name metagenome. RNAcentral's name for it is "bacterial SSU rRNA". It matches the Rfam family "Bacterial small subunit ribosomal RNA". The record is from RNAcentral.
AGAGUUUGAUCCUGGCUCAGGACGAACGCUGGCGGCGUGCCUAAUACAUGCAAGUAGAACGCUGAAGAGAGGAGCUUGCUCUUCUUGGAUGAGUUGCGAACGGGUGAGUAACGCGUAGGUAACCUGCCUUGUAGCGGGGGAUAACUAUUGGAAACGAUAGCUAAUACCGCAUAACAAUGGAUGACCCAUGUCAUUUAUUUGAAAGGGGCAAAUGCUCCACUACAAGAUGGACCUGCGUUGUAUUAGCUAGUAGGUGAGGUAACGGCUCACCUAGGCGACGAUACAUAGCCGACCUGAGAGGGUGAUCGGCCACACUGGGACUGAGACACGGCCCAGACUCCUACGGGAGGCAGCAGUAGGGAAUCUUCGGCAAUGGGGGCAACCCUGACCGAGCAACGCCGCGUGAGUGAAGAAGGUUUUCGGAUCGUAAAGCUCUGUUGUAAGUCAAGAACGAGUGUGAGAGUGGAAAGUUCACACUGUGACGGUAACUUACCAGAAAGGGACGGCUAACUACAUGCCAGCAGCCGCGGUAAUACGUAGGUCCCGAGCGUUGUCCGGAUUUAUUGGGCGUAAAGCGAGCGCAGGCGGUUUGAUAAGUCUGAAGUUAAAGGCUGUGGCUCAACCAUAGUUCGCUUUGGAAACUGUCAAACUUGAGUGCAGAAGGGGAGAGUGGAAUUCCAUGUGUAGCGGUGAAAUGCGUAGAUAUAUGGAGGAACACCGGUGGCGAAAGCGGCUCUCUGGUCUGUAACUGACGCUGAGGCUCGAAAGCGUGGGGAGCGAACAGGAUUAGAUACCCUGGUAGUCCACGCCGUAAACGAUGAGUGCUAGGUGUUGGAUCCUUUCCGGGAUUCAGUGCCGCAGCUAACGCAUUAAGCACUCCGCCUGGGGAGUACGACCGCAAGGUUGAAACUCAAAGGAAUUGACGGGGGCCCGCACAAGCGGUGGAGCAUGUGGUUUAAUUCGAAGCAACGCGAAGAACCUUACCAGGUCUUGACAUCCCGAUGCUAUUUCUAGAGAUAGAAAGUUACUUCGGUACAUCGGUGACAGGUGGUGCAUGGUUGUCGUCAGCUCGUGUCGUGAGAUGUUGGGUUAAGUCCCGCAACGAGCGCAACCCCUAUUGUUAGUUGCCAUCAUUCAGUUGGGCACUCUAGCGAGACUGCCGGUAAUAAACCGGAGGAAGGUGGGGAUGACGUCAAAUCAUCAUGCCCCUUAUGACCUGGGCUACACACGUGCUACAAUGGUUGGUACAACGAGUUGCGAGUCGGUGACGGCAAGCUAAUCUCUUAAAGCCAAUCUCAGUUCGGAUUGUAGGCUGCAACUCGCCUACAUGAAGUCGGAAUCGCUAGUAAUCGCGGAUCAGCACGCCGCGGUGAAUACGUUCCCGGGCCUUGUACACACCGCCCGUCACACCACGAGAGUUUGUAACACCCGAAGUCGGUGAGGUAACCUUUUGGAGCCAGCCGCCUAAGGUGGGAUAGAUGAUUGGGGUGAAGUCGUAACAAGGUA